CGAAAGACUAUGAAAUUCAUGUAGAAAUUUCAUUCCUUUUUCCAGCUAAAAGCGUCCAAAGUUUUAAAGAAAAUACCUGGUACGAAAGAGAUGAAGUCGAGCACAUCAGACGCCAGGAUAAGCAAAGGACAUUAUAUGGCAGAAUCUGAUCCAAAGUACAAGGAGUUAUGAUUAGAAAACUGAAAAGACGGGUACAAGCCAUUACUGGUCUACGGUCAGAGUCUUAUGCAACACUCCAGAUCGCCAAUUAUGGAAUAGGCGGAUAUUAUUACUCUCAUUACGACUAGACUCCAAAACACGAUAAUCCACUCAUCAAUGAUAGAAUUGCUACGUUCUUAUUUUAUCUAAAUGAAGUUGUAGCAGGUGGCGCCACCGUCUUCCCACGUAUUAGCGUUCGAAUACCGCCGGAAAAGGGAGAUGCCAUAUUAUGGUACAACUUUCACCGAAACGGUUAUGGCAAUAUGAAAACGUUUCACGCUGC
Long non-coding RNA from Mercenaria mercenaria, 481 nucleotides. RefSeq lists it as uncharacterized. NCBI's taxonomy places the organism in Eukaryota, Metazoa, Mollusca, Bivalvia, Venerida, Veneridae. The record is from RefSeq and is a predicted model, not a curated record. The transcript has 6 exons.